AGCGAACGCUGGCGGCAGGCCUAAUACAUGCAAGUCGAGCGGUCCCUUCGGGGGGCAGCGGCGGACGGGUGAGUAACGCGUGGGAACGUGCCCUUUGGUACGGAACAACUGAGGGAAACUUCAGCUGAUACCGUAUGUGCCCUUCGGGGGAAAGAUUUAUCGCCAUUGGAGCGGCCCGCGUUGGAUUAGGUAGUUGGUGAGGUAAAGGCUCACCAAGCCUACGAUCCAUAGCUGGUCUGAGAGGAUGAUCAGCCACACUGGGACUGAGACACGGCCCAGACUCCUACGGGAGGCAGCAGUAGGGAAUCUUGCGCAAUGGGCGAAAGCCUGACGCAGCCAUGCCGCGUGAAUGAUGAAGGUCUUAGGAUUGUAAAAUUCUUUCACCGGGGACGAUAAUGACGGUACCCGGAAAGGGGAACCCCGGCUAACUUCGUG
Molecule: ribosomal RNA, 435 nt
Filed under: uncultured bacterium
Lineage: Bacteria
Description: bacterial SSU rRNA
Rfam family: Bacterial small subunit ribosomal RNA
Source: RNAcentral